Molecule: ribosomal RNA, 245 nt
Filed under: uncultured bacterium
Lineage: Bacteria
Description: partial small subunit ribosomal RNA
Rfam family: Bacterial small subunit ribosomal RNA
Source: RNAcentral
AGAAUCAACGCUGGCGGCGUGCCUAACACAUGCAAGUCGAACGAGAAAGUGGAGCAAUCCAUGAGUAAAGUGGCGCACGGGUGAGUAACACGUGACUAACCUACCCUUGAGUGGGGAAUAACUUCGGGAAACCGAGGCUAAUACCGCAUAACACCUACGGGUCAAGGGAGCAAUUCGCUUAAGGAGGGGGUCGCGGCAGAUUAGUUAGUUGGCGGGGUAAUGGCCCACCAAGACAGUGAUCUGUA